RNAcentral lists this ribosomal RNA (3029 nucleotides) under Salmonella enterica subsp. enterica serovar Senftenberg. RNAcentral describes it as "bacterial LSU rRNA". It matches the Rfam family "Bacterial large subunit ribosomal RNA". RNAcentral also lists the same sequence under 1 other name. Lineage: Bacteria; Pseudomonadati; Pseudomonadota; Gammaproteobacteria; Enterobacterales; Enterobacteriaceae. The record is from RNAcentral.
GGGUUGUGAGGUUAAGCGACUAAGCGUACACGGUGGAUGCCCUGGCAGUCAGAGGCGAUGAAGGGCGUGCUAAUCUGCGAUAAGCGCCGGUAAGGUGAUAUGAACCGUUAUAACCGGCGAUACCCGAAUGGGGAAACCCAGUGUGAUUCGUCACACUAUCAUUAACUGAAUCCAUAGGUUAAUGAGGCGAACCGGGGGAACUGAAACAUCUAAGUACCCCGAGGAAAAGAAAUCAACCGAGAUUCCCCCAGUAGCGGCGAGCGAACGGGGAGGAGCCCAGAGCCUGAAUCAGCAUGUGUGUUAGUGGAAGCGUCUGGAAAGGCGCGCGAUACAGGGUGACAGCCCCGUACACAAAAGCGCAUGUGCUGUGAGCUCGAUGAGUAGGGCGGGACACGUGGUAUCCUGUCUGAAUAUGGGGGGACCAUCCUCCAAGGCUAAAUACUCCUGACUGACCGAUAGUGAACCAGUACCGUGAGGGAAAGGCGAAAAGAACCCCGGCGAGGGGAGUGAAAAAGAACCUGAAACCGUGUACGUACAAGCAGUGGGAGCCCCACCACCAAAGCAUUCUCUGGUGUUGAAGGCCCUGCAAAGCAGCAUCGCGGUGGCGGAGCGUCGUUUGCGACGCCCAACACACAAAACAAGCGGUGAGUGCUUUGGGGUGGGGUGACUGCGUACCUUUUGUAUAAUGGGUCAGCGACUUAUAUUCUGUAGCAAGGUUAACCGAAUAGGGGAGCCGGAGGGAAACCGAGUCUUAAUUGGGCGUUAAGUUGCAGGGUAUAGACCCGAAACCCGGUGAUCUAGCCAUGGGCAGGUUGAAGGUUGGGUAACACUAACUGGAGGACCGAACCGACUAAUGUUGAAAAAUUAGCGGAUGACCUGUGGCUGGGGGUGAAAGGCCAAUCAAACCGGGAGAUAGCUGGUUCUCCCCGAAAGCUAUUUAGGUAGCGCCUCGUGAAUUCAUCUCCGGGGGUAGAGCACUGUUUCGGCUAGGGGGCCAUCCCGGCUUACCAACCCGAUGCAAACUGCGAAUACCGGAGAAUGUUAUCACGGGAGACACACGGCGGGUGCUAACGUCCGUCGUGAAGAGGGAAACAACCCAGACCGCCAGCUAAGGUCCCAAAGUCAUGGUUAAGUGGGAAACGAUGUGGGAAGGCCCAGACAGCCAGGAUGUUGGCUUAGAAGCAGCCAUCAUUUAAAGAAAGCGUAAUAGCUCACUGGUCGAGUCGGCCUGCGCGGAAGAUGUAACGGGGCUAAACCAUGCACCGAAGCUGCGGCAGCGACGCUGAUGCGUUGUUGGGUAGGGGAGCGUUCUGUAAGCCUGCGAAGGUGGCCUGUGAGGGUUGCUGGAGGUAUCAGAAGUGCGAAUGCUGACAUAAGUAACGAUAAAGCGGGUGAAAAGCCCGCUCGCCGGAAGACCAAGGGUUCCUGUCCAACGUUAAUCGGGGCAGGGUGAGUCGACCCCUAAGGCGAGGCCGAAAGGCGUAGUCGAUGGGAAACGGGUUAAUAUUCCCGUACUUGGUGUUACUGCGAAGGGGGGACGGAGAAGGCUAUGUUGGCCGGGCGACGGUUGUCCCGGUUUAAGCGUGUAGGUGUGUGUUCCAGGUAAAUCCGGUUCACUUUAACACUGAGGCGUGACGACGAGGCACUACGGUGCUGAAGCAACAAAUGCCCUGCUUCCAGGAAAAGCCUCUAAGCAUCAGGUAACAUCAAAUCGUACCCCAAACCGACACAGGUGGUCAGGUAGAGAAUACCAAGGCGCUUGAGAGAACUCGGGUGAAGGAACUAGGCAAAAUGGUGCCGUAACUUCGGGAGAAGGCACGCUGACACGUAGGUGAAGUGAUUUACUCAUGGAGCUGAAGUCAGUCGAAGAUACCAGCUGGCUGCAACUGUUUAUUAAAAACACAGCACUGUGCAAACACGAAAGUGGACGUAUACGGUGUGACGCCUGCCCGGUGCCGGAAGGUUAAUUGAUGGGGUCAGCGCAAGCGAAGCUCCUGAUCGAAGCCCCGGUAAACGGCGGCCGUAACUAUAACGGUCCUAAGGUAGCGAAAUUCCUUGUCGGGUAAGUUCCGACCUGCACGAAUGGCGUAAUGAUGGCCAGGCUGUCUCCACCCGAGACUCAGUGAAAUUGAACUCGCUGUGAAGAUGCAGUGUACCCGCGGCAAGACGGAAAGACCCCGUGAACCUUUACUAUAGCUUGACACUGAACAUUGAGCCUUGAUGUGUAGGAUAGGUGGGAGGCUUUGAAGUGUGGACGCCAGUCUGCAUGGAGCCGACCUUGAAAUACCACCCUUUAAUGUUUGAUGUUCUAACGUGGACCCGUAAUCCGGGUUGCGGACAGUGUCUGGUGGGUAGUUUGACUGGGGCGGUCUCCUCCUAAAGAGUAACGGAGGAGCACGAAGGUUGGCUAAUCCUGGUCGGACAUCAGGAGGUUAGUGCAAUGGCAUAAGCCAGCUUGACUGCGAGCGUGACGGCGCGAGCAGGUGCGAAAGCAGGUCAUAGUGAUCCGGUGGUUCUGAAUGGAAGGGCCAUCGCUCAACGGAUAAAAGGUACUCCGGGGAUAACAGGCUGAUACCGCCCAAGAGUUCAUAUCGACGGCGGUGUUUGGCACCUCGAUGUCGGCUCAUCACAUCCUGGGGCUGAAGUAGGUCCCAAGGGUAUGGCUGUUCGCCAUUUAAAGUGGUACGCGAGCUGGGUUUAGAACGUCGUGAGACAGUUCGGUCCCUAUCUGCCGUGGGCGCUGGAGAACUGAGGGGGGCUGCUCCUAGUACGAGAGGACCGGAGUGGACGCAUCACUGGUGUUCGGGUUGUCAUGCCAAUGGCACUGCCCGGUAGCUAAAUGCGGAAGAGAUAAGUGCUGAAAGCAUCUAAGCACGAAACUUGCCCCGAGAUGAGUUCUCCCUGAGACUUAGAGUCUCCUGAAGGAACGUUGAAGACGACGACGUUGAUAGGCCGGGUGUGUAAGCGCAGCGAUGCGUUGAGCUAACCGGUACUAAUGAACCGUGAGGCUUAACCUUACAACGCCGAAG